AUACGGAGGGUGCAAGCGUUGUUCGGAAUUACUGGGCGUAAAGCGCGUGCAGGCGGUAAGGUAAGUCAGAUGUGAAAGCCCCGGGCUCAACCCGGGAAGUGCAUUUGAUACUGCCUUUCUUGAGUAUGGGAGAGGAGAGUGGAAUUCCCAGUGUAGAGGUGAAAUUCGUAGAUAUUGGGAGGAACACCCGUGGCGAAGGCGACUCUCUGGACCAAUACUGACGCUGAGACGCGAAAGCGUGGGGAGCGAACAGGAUUAGAAACCCCGGUAGUCC
Molecule: ribosomal RNA, 274 nt
Filed under: uncultured bacterium
Lineage: Bacteria
Description: partial 16S ribosomal RNA
Rfam family: Bacterial small subunit ribosomal RNA
Source: RNAcentral